RNAcentral lists this ribosomal RNA (253 nucleotides) under uncultured bacterium. RNAcentral's name for it is "partial 16S ribosomal RNA". It matches the Rfam family "Bacterial small subunit ribosomal RNA", at positions 524 to 776 of the family's 1533-position model. The record is from RNAcentral.
UACGUAGGGUGCGAGCGUUAAUCGGAAUUAUUGGGCGUAAAGAGCUCGUAGGCGGUUUGUCGCGUCUGUCGUGAAAGCUUGGGGCUUAACCCCAAGUCUGCGGUGGAUACGGGCAGACUAGAGGCAGGUAGGGGAGAACGGAAUUCCCGGUGUAGCGGUGAAAUGCGCAGAUAUCGGGAGGAACACCGGUGGCGAAGGCGGUUCUCUGGGCCUGUACUGACGCUGAGGAGCGAAAGCGUGGGGAGCGAACAGG